RNAcentral lists this ribosomal RNA (497 nucleotides) under uncultured bacterium. RNAcentral's name for it is "bacterial SSU rRNA". It matches the Rfam family "Bacterial small subunit ribosomal RNA", at positions 31 to 518 of the family's 1533-position model. The record is from RNAcentral.
GAACGCUAGCGACAGCUAACACAUGCAAGCGAGGGCAGCGACGGAGUAGCAAUACGUUUGGUGGCGACCGGCGCGACGGGUGAGUAACGCGUAUGACCAACCUACCUAUCGAGGAAGGGAACUAACCGGCGAAAGUCGGACUAAUACCGCAUAAAACAGGGGCACCGCAUGGUGAUAUUUGUUAAAGAAAUUCGCUGAUAGAUGGGCAUGCGUUCCAUUAGGUAGUUGGUGAGGUAACGGCUCACCAAGCCGACGAUGGAUAGGGAACUGAGAGGUUGGUCCCCCACACUGGUACUGAGACACGGACCAGACUCCUACGGGAGGCAGCAGUGAGGAAUAUUGGUCAAUGGGCGGGAGCCUGAACCAGCCAAGUCGCCGUGAAGGAAGAAGGAUCUAUGGUUCGUAAACUUCUUUUGCAGGGGAAUAAAGUGCAGGACGUGUCCUGUUUUGUAUGUACCCUGAGAAUAAGGAUCGGCUAACUCCGUGCCAGCCGCCGC